RNAcentral lists this transfer RNA (85 nucleotides) under bacterium. Its description in RNAcentral is "tRNA-Leu". It matches the Rfam family "tRNA". Rfam says of the family: Transfer RNA (tRNA) molecules are approximately 80 nucleotides in length. The record is from RNAcentral.
GCCGGGGUGGCGGAAUUGGUAGACGCGAGAGACUUAAAAUCUCUUGGGGUGAUUCCCCGUGCGGGUUCGAGUCCCGCCCCCGGCA